Molecule: long non-coding RNA, 1550 nt
Organism: Oreochromis niloticus (Nile tilapia)
Lineage: Eukaryota; Metazoa; Chordata; Actinopteri; Cichliformes; Cichlidae
Exons: 5
Source: RefSeq, a predicted model, not a curated record
CAUCGACUAUUCUGUGCCACAGAUCCAGUUCGCUGCAGCACAGAGUGAUGAUGAGAUGGUGGAAGAACAACAGAGACAAUUUACGGACCGUUAACAUGUGCAACUUAGAAGUAGUCAGAGGUAACUGGAUGGAGUUCAGUCAGGUUAAAUGCACGGUUGAUUGGAUUAUAUCUGAAGAUCGUAUGCUAUUCGUGACAACUCUACUAGACUCCAAAUUUCUCGUCCAUGAGGGAGUAUCUCAAAAGUAAAUGAAACAACUAAACUUAACACUUUUUCCCUAAAACUGACUGACAUGGGAAACAUUAAAGUUGGACUGACACCAGCUAAUCAGUCUGAAGGAAUCACAGAACAAGAAGGGAGACCACUGAGGAGAAGUUCUAUGAGUUCACGGGUGACCUCAGCUGUCAAGUUCCUGGAUGUGGGGAUGGAAAUUGAAGAGGAACUCACAAGCCUCCUGCUGGCACUAGACAGAGAGAAAAUAAUCUGCAUUGUAGAACAUCUGAAGGACGUUAUUGGUGUACAACAAAAAAGUGAUCUUUUGUUUGUGGAGGCGGAAGAUCUCAAACCCUUUCUCACACCAAUUCAAAUACGUAAACUACUUCUUGCAUUUAAAGGAGAUGGCAACAGACCAGAGAACCUGAAUGACACCAUUACUCUGGAGCCUUGCCCUGCUGCAUCAGCUGAAACAUCAAGCCAUCCACCUCACCCCUCCUCCUCCACGUCCACCACUAUGUACAACCAUUACUCCAGCUCUUGGGUCUCACACUUACAGAUUCCUUGGGAAAGAUUUCCACUCCGACUGUCGCAUGCAAUCACAAGAGGGGACAGAGCUCAUCCAGAGGACAGGAGAAGUAUGGUUAGAAUUGUUGUGGAGGCCAUGCAAGUUCUCUGCAGAAACCUUAAACGUGCAUCUUGUGAAGAAGUUGCUAAAAUCAUUGUAAACAGAUACCCUCAAACAUUUGCAGAUUUUACUGAAAAGGGAGAAAGACUGGGUUGUGGACAUUAUUCACUACUAAGAAGCAUCAAAUCUAGAGUUGAACAUGUUAAUCGAGAUAAUACAACACAUAGACUUCGUCAAACAAAGAGAACCAGGAAUGAGGAAGACUGAAGUCCCAACAGUAAUGCAACCUCACCUAAAAAAGUUAGAUGCCUUGUUGAUAGCUAUGGUUGUAUAAAUUGGCAGCCAGUUGAACUUCCUGAGGGGGAAAUGCCAGCUUCUUUAGAGGAAAAGAAGCACAUCUUGUUAACAAUUUUUAAUUCAGAAGGACCUGGAGCUGUGGAGAGACCUGAUGUGGAUGACUUCAUGUGCCUCACAUAUAUUUCUCAGCGGCAGCUUAUCAACAGUUGUCCCUCACUUUCAGUAGCUGAAAUUCAGGAGCAGUGGCCAUUCUUGUUUACUCGGAAAGGUCUUUCGAACCACUUUUACAAACUCACAGGCAUCGAUAUCAGUGAGCACUUAAGUCAGGCCCUCAUAACCAAAGGCAGAAGGAUUAUUAACUAUUUCUCCAGCCAGAAGCUCAAAUGGAACCUUGGUAUAAGGACACUCAUCC